GAAACGCUCAGCACCAAUGGUGAUCACCUGCCCAUCUGGGAGCUCAUAGCUCUUCUCAACAGAAGAGCUGGUCUUUGAAGUCUCGAGUUCCUGUUCAUAGUCAAGAGCUAUGUAAGCGAGCUUUUCUUUCACGUCCCUGACAAUUUCUCGCUCAGCUGAGGUGGUGAACGAGUAACCACGCUCGGUCAGGAUCUUCAUCAAACUAUCAGUGAGGUCACGUCCUGCCAAGUCAAGACGGAGAAUGGCAUGUGGAAGGGCAUACCCUUCAUAAAUUGGGACAGUGUGGCUGACACCAUCACCAGAG
Molecule: unclassified non-coding RNA, 304 nt
Filed under: Hevea brasiliensis (rubber tree)
Lineage: Eukaryota; Viridiplantae; Streptophyta; Magnoliopsida; Malpighiales; Euphorbiaceae
Source: RNAcentral